Molecule: ribosomal RNA, 495 nt
Filed under: uncultured Glomeromycotina
Lineage: Eukaryota; Fungi; Glomeromycota
Description: partial small subunit ribosomal RNA
Rfam family: Eukaryotic small subunit ribosomal RNA
Source: RNAcentral
CCAAUAGCGUAUAUUAAAGUUGUUGUGGUUAAAAAGCUCGUAGUUGAACCUUGGGCCUGGCUGGCCGGUCCGCCUCACCGCGUGUACUGGUCCGGCCGGGCCUUUCCCUCUGUGGAACCCCAUGCCCUUCACUGGGUGUGGCGGGGAAACAGGACUUUUACUUUGAAAAAAUUAGAGUGCUCCAGGCAGGCCUAUGCUCGAAUACAUUAGCAUGGAAUAAUAAAAUAGGACGUGCGGUUCUAUUUUGUUGGUUUCUAGGACCGCCGUAAUGAUUAAUAGGGACAGUCGGGGGCAUCAGUAUUCAAUUGUCAGAGGUGAAAUUCUUGGAUUUAUUGAAGACUAACUACUGCGAAAGCAUUUGCCAAGGAUGUUUUCAUUAAUCAGGAACGAAAGUUAGGGGAUCGAAGACGAUCAGAUACCGCCGUAGUCUUAACCAUAAACUAUGCCGACUAGGGAUCGGACGAUGUUAUUUUUUGACUCGUUCGGCACCUUACG